CCUUCCUGGUGCUGGUCGGGUGUGUUGCGGCGCAGUGGCCCAUGUCCUUGUGUGUUUCACUGCAGACUUUAUCAUGGCUUGAUAAGCAGUGCACAGGUCCAUGCCUGGGAUCCGAACCAGCAAACCCCAAGCUGCUGAAGUGGAGCAAGUGAACUCAACUGCUGUGCCACUGGGCUGGCCCCAACAGAUUUGUGUUUUCUCUCUAACCAAGCCUCCACAAGUUCAAGGUCACCAGCCAGUAAUCUAACUGUCUAAUGGAAAGAAGUAAGAAAUCACUAUAAGAAGAUAACAGAAGCUAGAAUCUCUACAGCAUAUGAUCUACAAUGCCCUGUGUAAAUAAAAACUAAUAGGAUUUUCUCACUCAAUUUUCCAUCUCCGGGACUCUUCUCUGACCCUUCAAGUCUAUAGACAGCAGCUUUCUGCUCGGGUCCUAACCGUCCUGAUGCCAUGUGGACUAGGGAGUGCCUUCAAGAGAAAAGUUAUGGAAAAGUGGACCUCACCCAACGAAUAUGGUUCCUUUCUUUAAAUGCUCAAAUUCCUUUUAAUAGCUGCCUACUUUUGGUUGUUCUCCAGUGACUUCAAGAGGUUUUUUGUUUUGUUUUUUUUCUCAGAGUUUAAUUGUUGUCUGUGGGAGGGUUCGUCCAUGACAAGCAGGUCUACCACUACCAGAACCAUAACUCCCAAUGUGUUGGUUUUAAAGAGGC
This 704-nucleotide long non-coding RNA is filed under the name Equus caballus (horse). RNAcentral's name for it is "lncRNA (ENSECAG00000052024.1)". The record is from RNAcentral. Lineage: Eukaryota; Metazoa; Chordata; Mammalia; Perissodactyla; Equidae.